UAAAAGCAAAAUAAAUUCCUAUAUACAGUAGUACAGAUAACUAGAGUAUGAAAUUUAAUUUACAGUAACAAGUGGGACCCCCGAAUAUUCAAAAGUAAAGAGGACUGUGAACGUACAGUUUGAAAAAUGCAAUUCCAUGGUAGUCCUCGAUGCGAUCAGCUAUCUACAGUCUAUUCUGAGCCUGAAAUGGGUGGAAAGGAGGGUGGUGAGAUUAUAUAAUCCCAGUGAGUAAACAAGUACCAUCUAAAAUAUCUAAAGUCGAGUAAAUGGAAACAGAUAAAAUAAAUCAUCAUACUUUAAUUUAUCAUUUUUCAACUCAUUUCAACCAAAUAAAAUUCAAUUCAUUUAAAUUGAGUAAUCAACAUGGCUUAUGAAUUUCUUAAAAGCUUGGCUCAUGCCAAAAAUUAUUAUCAUACUCAGUUAUCAGGGAUACCUUGACCGAGGGCUAUCCCAACUGAGUCCGCCAAGGCUAUUAGAAAGUUAUGUAUGCAUAAAUCAUGUUUUUUCUUUUAAACAUAGCCGUUCCUUGGCAUUGGCCGAGUUCCCUUUCACGUGGUGGUUUGGCGUGAAGUGAACUCUAAAAGUUAUACAUCGGGAGUUACCCUACUCACCUCUCCAACCGAGGUAAAAUAUAACGGAAUUUCGUGCCCCUGUAAUAGGCUGGUCCACAGAAAACCUGCCCCCUGCAGCAUGUUAAUCCCACCAUACAAUAAAAUUUUGACAGCAUGACAGGGUUAAUUUAAUACUACCCAGCUUGCAAAUGUAAAAUAGAAUAAUUCAUACAGUUCACAAAAACCACAACCCAGCCAGUCAUGCCAACACAUUAACGUAAGCCAUUUAUUCAAAUCAUAAAUUUACAACAUAUCAGUGGUCUCCAAUUACUCUAUUUUUCAAAACCAUAAUUCAAUUUCAAAACAUUUAUAAAAUCAUUUUAUUUAAACACAUUUUACUUAUAAAACAUAAGAAUUUACCAUUUAACUCAUUUUUCAUAAAAUCACAAAAAUGAAUAAAAACUACUUUAGAUAAUUAAGACGAUAGUAAGGUUACUCACUAUUUCGGGAGUCGAAUUUCUAUAGUACUCCAACUAUCGAUCCUCGAGUACAAUUUCCUUGCCCUUGUCCGAGGACUCA
This 1130-nucleotide long non-coding RNA is filed under the name Theobroma cacao (cacao). RNAcentral describes it as "long non-coding RNA (TCAC_LNC004924)". The record is from RNAcentral. Lineage: Eukaryota; Viridiplantae; Streptophyta; Magnoliopsida; Malvales; Malvaceae.